GCGCAAGCGCGGCAAUGGGAGCAGGGCGCCGGGGGCGGGAGGCGGGGGGUCAUACCCCUGGCUGAUUACUUCCAAAUCGUUCCCCUGGCUGAUUACUUCUAACAGUUGUGUAUAAAUAGAACCUCAGAAGAAGGUUAAGUCGAAGAGACAACAGUAAAAGAACGGCAUUCCAGUGGAAUCAAUGAGUAAUUUCAAGGCUCUUGGAAACUCUGUGACACUCCAAGAUCUCGGAAUAAUAAGCAACAGAGAAGAACUUAGAAUUCAGUCUUUGACUUGCAGGUACAGUGAAGAGAGAAGGGAAUGGAGAGAGGCACCGGAGAUUGAAAGUGACUUUACAUAUAUGUUGAUUUAUUUUUUAAAAGUGGGGCUUAUUUAAAGAAGAUAAAUGAGGUCAAAUAUAGGAUGACAGAAGGAGACUGGACUUCAGGUGGUGAGCACAUAACAGAAUAUACAGCUUUGGCCCAGACUCUGAAGAUUCACACGCUGGAAUUGGAGUUCAGCGUGAGAGGUGCCUUAUAACAUUCUGUUCGUGUUGGAGUGAGUUCCAGGAGGCAGUGUAGUGCGCAGUUGGCCCUGCAGGAGGAGCUGGCUUCAGAACGGAGUGAACUUCAGACUUGCAAAUGAGAAACUUCCAGCAGCAGCUCCAGGCCCUGCUGGGAAGAGCUAACAGAGAUGUAACAUUCUGGAUUAUUUUUAGUCUCUUCUCUGCAGCAUUUCAACUUGUGAAAUGAUUAUCAUUAAAGACUUAAGCAUGAAGACAUGUGACAGAUGUUGAGCAUAAUCCAGGGAGCCCUAAAGAUGCAGUCUGGAUUUUAUCGCAAUUUACGUGGGGUGUACAGGAUGCUGCCAUACACUCCCAGGGUCCCGGCUUCGGUGUCGGAAGCACUCACAAGGAGUGUUGAGAGCCCUCCGCUGAGUCUGUCCGCAGGAAUCUCCCUCUGCCAAAGGUACCACUUCAGAGUGCCCAGUUUUCACCGUUUGUGCAGAUGAGACAGACCUGCUGGCAUCUCUUCUUGAUCUUCCAUCGACACGACUUACUUUUUGCCCUGGGGAUUCUCACUUGUCGCUGUGGGAGCCCACUUGGCCUUCACGUAUGUGCAACCUGGAAAUUAAGAAGAGUUAACAUCCAUGGCAUCACCUUGAACCAGUGGAGAAGGGAGAGAGACCAAACACAUCAAUGUUUUCUCCUAGUUUUAAGAUGCAUUUCAUAAGACUCCUGAGUAGUCUUGUUGGUUUGAGCCCUGUCAGUUGCAGCAGCUGGCCAUCUCGAUGAUGCAGCCUUGUACUGGCUUUCCCUCAUUCCCUGACUCACUCCUCCUGGACUUCACUCCUGCUCUAUGGGAUCACAUUUGCACAUCCACAGCGGAUAUGCAAACCUUUGUCUCAGACUCUGCUUUGUUCUGCUUUGGAGGAGCACAGGCUAAGAACAUAGAACAAAACAAUGAGUUUGGACAUUGGUCUAAAACAAAUGCCAGAGUAAUUUGGUAAUUAAUUAUGGUAGAAUAUGGUAGAAUAUGCUAUUUCUACAGGAAUAAAACAACACUGAUUCUCUUUUUAAGUUUAAAAUUGGAAGAUGAGAGGUGUACAGAAGUCUCCACUCUCUGGUCCUAAUGCAAAACUCCUUAAGAUUUUCCUCUGAAGUACGGAAAUAGGAAGCUCUCAGCAGACAGAGCUUAUUGUAGUAAAAAGUUAGUUGGCUUUGAUUAUCAAGAGAAAGAAAGUUCCACACUGUUCCACACUGAGGGAAAUUUGGAACCACUAGUGUGUUUUUUGGUACUCCCAUGCCCAACUGUGAUUGGAGGAGAGGGUAAUGGACAAGUGCAGCAGCCAUGACCUGAUUGCACGGAGACCAAAGACUCAUACCCUCAGAGAUGAGGGUUUGGAUCACCACACUGCUAAGCAGCCUAGACCAACAGAAGUGCAAGCUGAGGGCAUGGAGAAUCUAGAAUAGGUUGUAAAGGUGGCAGAGAUAGGUGUCACUUAUAGCCUUGAGACCAGCUGUGAUGGAGAGGGCCGUAGUUCAUCCCACUAACCUUCAUUUUCUAAGCUCUGCUGGAAAAUGAGACCAAUUAGAAUCCUGAAGAAGAUGUUCCUAAAUGGGGAUGACUUAUUAUUAGAAGCCAGUAGAUCCAAGUUCUUAAAAUAGAGCGGACUGUAGUGGGUACGAUCAUGUGCCAUCUACAUUACCCUCUCAAGAGCCAAUGUGCUCAUUCUCCAACUCUACAUAUAUUGGCUGCUGAUGACUUGAGCUAUGUCGCUUUCCAGGAAUUGCCCUUUGUGGAAGGACACUUUCACUCAAAGUUAUGUGCCUUGCUGGCUGCAGCCGGCAUCUAAUAACGUGUCGGUUGUUUUCAAAGGCUUAACCCCAUGACUCAGCUUGUGACAUCUCUGAACAGCAUCCUGGAUUCAGAUUGAUCCAUGCUGUCCAUGGAUGGCUGGAGCCUUUGGUGUAACUGCACCACAGUUCAACUUCUCUCUGUGAGAUCGUGCUUCUGUCACUUCCUUACAUGGGAUAUUUCCGAGAAGACAGGCCAAUAAGCCUCCCGUAUGUGAAUCUCAGCGUCUGUGUCCAGGAAGUCUGAUGGAAGCCUAUUUUCACAUCGAUUUCCCUGGACAGUUGGGGCGAUUUAAAUUAAUAAUGCCAUGCCACCUUUAGUUUACUAUUUAUUUAAUUUGGAAUAAGGAUGAGAGAUUUCAGGUAAGAGGCAAUACAGAUAUUAUGUAACUCAAUAUUUUCCUACGGUAGAUGGCCAAAUAAAAGGAAAGAGAAGUGGAUCUUCUCUCUUUGGAACAAUUCUAAAGGAAGGCAUGUAGAGGGUACCCUCUCAUUUCUGGGGCUCUGAUGCACGCAAAAACUUGAAAGCCACUUGAGCGUGGACCCCUUUGUCUUCAGCAUAAGAAGGGCAAAAUUGGGACUGCAAGAGCGAAAGUGAAAGAGGGAACAUCUGCUUCCCUCUCAAUGCUCUCGCUGUUGGAUUUCACUCUGGGCUGGCUGUCGUCCUCACUCAGAGUGGGCCAUGCACUUCUCAGACCACUUAAGUAUGACAGUGAUGAGGGAAAGCAUGCUAUUAGUAAUCACUUGUUUUGUGUUCGUGCAAAUCAAGAAAUGUUGGAUAAAACCUCUCUUUUUACUCAGUUCUGGACAAUUUCAAAUUGAAACAUAUUUUUACCAUCAUGAAGAGCGGGCUGGACAUCUUAAUAAUCGACCGAAUUUAUUUAUUAUUAGUCUCUCACUACGGCAAUGUGGUGAAGUGGCCGGCAGCCCAGCACUACUCAUUUUUCCCUUUCUUCGAGGAAGUAGCACAAUGAUGGGUAACAGACAUGGCUGUAGAAAGCUUUCCUUUCUAAAAUUCCUGUGACUACAUUGAAUUGUAUGCCAAAUAUAUACAUAUGUGUAACAAAAAAAUGUGAGAAGCGUGUAUUUUUCUAGUCUCAUUUGAUUGCAUCAACACGGAGUUCAUAUUGGCUUUUGCAACAAUAGCUAAUGAGCCAUAUGUGGAAAAAUCCAGAUGUUUAGAGAGUAUGCUCCUCUGAUCUAUUAUACGAAUGUCCAUUUACGACAAUGUCUCAUAUUGUAUGGAAAGGAGAAAGCUGCAUCAUCAAUAAAGAAAUACAAUUGAA
Long non-coding RNA from Pteropus alecto (black flying fox), 3621 nucleotides. RefSeq lists it as uncharacterized. The transcript is spliced from 9 exons. Lineage: Eukaryota; Metazoa; Chordata; Mammalia; Chiroptera; Pteropodidae. The record is from RefSeq and is a predicted model, not a curated record.